UACGGAGGGUGCGAGCGUUGUCCGGAAUCACUGGGCGUAAAGGGCGCGUAGGCGGCGCGGGUAGUCGUCGGUGAAAGCUCAGGGCUCAACCCUGAGUCGGCCGGUGAUACUCCCGUGCUCGAGCACUGUAGAGGCAGGUGGAAUUCCGGGUGUAGCGGUGGAAUGCGCAGAUAUCAGGAGGAACACCAAUAGCGAAGGCAGCUCGCUGGGACGUUACUGACACUAAGGCGCGAAAGCGUGGGGAGCGAACAGG
This 253-nucleotide ribosomal RNA is filed under the name uncultured bacterium. Its description in RNAcentral is "partial 16S ribosomal RNA". It matches the Rfam family "Bacterial small subunit ribosomal RNA", at positions 524 to 776 of the family's 1533-position model. The record is from RNAcentral.